RNAcentral lists this long non-coding RNA (326 nucleotides) under Setaria italica (foxtail millet). RNAcentral's name for it is "long non-coding RNA (SITA_LNC003386)". The record is from RNAcentral. Lineage: Eukaryota; Viridiplantae; Streptophyta; Magnoliopsida; Poales; Poaceae.
GGCAAUCCUGGUGAAUUCACGAUGCUGGAGCUGGCUAAGGUGGUCCAGGACACCAUCGACAAAGAAGCACGCAUUGAGUUCCGUCCAAACACUGCAGAUGAUCCACAUAAGCGCAAGCCUGACAUCAGCCGUGCCAAAGAGCUUCUUGGCUGGGAGCCCAAGGUUCCCCUACACGAGGGCCUCCCCCUCAUGGUCACAGACUUCCGCAAACGUAUCUUUGGGGACCAGGGAGAAUUCACUGAGGCAGCUGGUGGCCUUUCUUAAUCGUCACCAUGUCAAAGUGACGCAUUUGUUCAGUCUGUAUGAUCAUCACUUACACGAAAAAU